Molecule: long non-coding RNA, 85 nt
Organism: Etheostoma spectabile (orangethroat darter)
Lineage: Eukaryota; Metazoa; Chordata; Actinopteri; Perciformes; Percidae
Exons: 3
Source: RefSeq, a predicted model, not a curated record
AAUGUUUGGUUACACUUUGCUUGAAGGUAUCUGCAUAAAAGUGACAUGACCCUGUCAUAAACAUAUGACACAGUAAUGAACACAU